ACACGGUAAACGAUGGAUGCUCGCUGUGUGCCCUCGGGUACGUGGCCAAGCGAAAGCAUUAAGCAUCCCACCUGGGGAGUACGCCGGCAACGGUGAAACUCAAAGGAAUUGACGGGGGCCCGCACAAGCGGAGGAACAUGUGGUUUAAUUCGAUGAUACGCGAGGAACCUUACCCGGGCUUGAACUGCACAGGACGGAUCCAGAGAUGGUGACUCCCUUCGGGGCCUGUGUGGAGGUGCUGCAUGGUUGUCGUCAGCUCGUGCCGUGAGGUGUCGGCUUAAGUGCCAUAACGAGCGCAACCCCUUUCCUUAGUUGCCAUCAGGUCAAGCUGGGCACUCUGGGGACACUGCCACCGUAAGGUGUGAGGAAGGUGGGGAUGACGUCAAAUCAGCACGGCCCUUACGUCCGGGGCUACACACGUGUUACAAUGGCGCAUACAGAGAGCCGGUCGGCGGCAACGUCGAUCCAAUCCUUAAAAUGCGUCGUAGUUCGGAUUGGGGUCUGCAACCCGACCCCAUGAAGCUGGAUUCGCUAGUAAUCGCGCAUCAGCCAUGGCGCGGUGAAUACGUUCCCGGGCCUUGUACACACCGCCCGUCAAGCCAUGAAAGCCGGGGGCACCUGAAGUCUGUGACCGCAAGGGGCGGCCUAAGGUGAAACUGGUAAUUGGGGCU
RNAcentral lists this ribosomal RNA (671 nucleotides) under uncultured equine intestinal eubacterium sp. PL13. Its description in RNAcentral is "bacterial SSU rRNA". It matches the Rfam family "Bacterial small subunit ribosomal RNA", at positions 797 to 1482 of the family's 1533-position model. The record is from RNAcentral.